This 468-nucleotide ribosomal RNA is filed under the name uncultured bacterium. RNAcentral describes it as "partial 16S ribosomal RNA". It matches the Rfam family "Bacterial small subunit ribosomal RNA", at positions 28 to 507 of the family's 1533-position model. The record is from RNAcentral.
GACGAACGCUGGCGGCGCGCCUAACACAUGCAAGUCGAACGGAGUCACGAGGAGCUUGCUUUUCUUGACUUAGUGGCGAACGGGUGAGUAACGCGUGAGUAACCUGCCCUGGAGUGGGGGACAACAGUUGGAAACGACUGCUAAUACCGCAUAAGCCCACGGAUCUGCAUGGAUCUGCGGGAAAAGGAUUUAUUCGCUCUAGGAUGGACUCGCGUCCAAUUAGCUAGUUGGUGAGGUAACGGCCCACCAAGGCGACGAUUGGUAGCCGGACUGAGAGGAUGAACGGCCACACUGGGACUGAGACACGGCCCAGACUCCUACGGGAGGCAGCAGUGGGGGAUAUUGCACAAUGGGGGAAACCCUGAUGCAGCGACGCCGCGUGGAGGAAGAAGGUUUUCGGAUUGUAAACCCCUGUCGUUAGGGACGAUAAUGACGGUACCUAACAAGAAAGCACCAGCUAACUACGUG